UUUGUUGGACCAGAAACUGUUAAAGAAAACUACCAAAAUAAGUGGAAACUACAACUGGACCAGCCCCUCUGUGUUUGUCUGCCUCCUUCCUGUCCUCUCAAACCCAGCCGGUCGAGGCAGGUGGCUGCCCGUCCUGAGCCUGCUGGUCCUGCUGGAGGUCUCCCAGUUAAAAGGGAGUUCCUUCUUCCCACUGUCACCAGUGUGCUGCUCAGGAUGGGAGACUAAUGAAGUGAUUCAACACAA
This is a long non-coding RNA of Austrofundulus limnaeus, 243 nucleotides long. RefSeq lists it as uncharacterized. The transcript has 2 exons. Lineage: Eukaryota; Metazoa; Chordata; Actinopteri; Cyprinodontiformes; Rivulidae. The record is from RefSeq and is a predicted model, not a curated record.